AGAGUUUGAUCCUGGCUCAGGACGAACGCUGGCGGCGUGCUUAACACAUGCAAGUCGAACGAUGAACUCCAGCUUGCUGGGGGGAUUAGUGGCGAACGGGUGAGUAACACGUGAGUAACCUGCCCCUGACUCUGGGAUAAGCGCUGGAAACGGCGUCUAAUACCGGAUAUGACAAUCGACGGCAUCGUCUGGUUGUGGAAAGAAUUUCGGUUGGGGAUGGACUCGCGGCCUAUCAGGUUGUUGGUGAGGUAAUGGCUCACCAAGCCUACGACGGGUAGCCGGCCUGAGAGGGUGACCGGCCACACUGGGACUGAGACACGGCCCAGACUCCUACGGGAGGCAGCAGUGGGGAAUAUUGCACAAUGGGCGCAAGCCUGAUGCAGCAACGCCGCGUGAGGGACGACGGCCUUCGGGUUGUAAACCUCUUUUAGUAGGGAAGAAGCGAAAGUGACGGUACCUGCAGAAGAAGCGCCGGCUAACUACGUGCCAGCAGCCGCGGUAAUACGUAGGGCGCAAGCGUUGUCCGGAAUUAUUGGGCGUAAAGAGCUCGUAGGCGGUUUGUCGCGUCUGCUGUGAAAACCUGAGGCUCAACCUCGGGCUUGCAGUGGGUACGGGCAGACUAGAGUGCGGUAGGGGUGACUGGAAUUCCUGGUGUAGCGGUGGAAUGCGCGAUAUCAGGAGGAACACCGAUGGCGAAGGCAGGUCACUGGGCCGCAACUGACGCUGAGGAGCGAAAGCAUGGGGAGCGAACAGGAUUAGAUACCCUAGUAGUCC
This 774-nucleotide ribosomal RNA is filed under the name uncultured bacterium. RNAcentral describes it as "bacterial SSU rRNA". It matches the Rfam family "Bacterial small subunit ribosomal RNA", at positions 8 to 796 of the family's 1533-position model. The record is from RNAcentral.